This 608-nucleotide long non-coding RNA is filed under the name Pan paniscus (pygmy chimpanzee). RNAcentral describes it as "lncRNA (ENSPPAG00000045436.1)". Lineage: Eukaryota; Metazoa; Chordata; Mammalia; Primates; Hominidae. The record is from RNAcentral.
CUUCAAUAAUAAUAAUAACAACAGCAGCAAACAAACCCAUAUAGAGUAUGUGUCUAAACCUGGCACUUCUCUAAAUUCUUUUCAGAUAAUCCCUACAACUUCUGGGAGAGGUGCAAGUAUCAACCAGUUGGAGACACAGGGAAAGGGUGAUAUAAUGCAGAAAGUGACUUGAACAAAUUUACACAGAAGGCAGUGAAGUGUGAUUCAAAUUCAAGCAGUCUAGACUGUGCCCCACACAACUCUGCAGCAUAACCUUGCAGUAUGAAAAUAAUGCCUCUCAUGCAGGUUAUGUCUUCUUCUAUAAGACUACCCACUGCCUCUUCUCAAGUAUAUCUGAAGUAUGGCUGGUUGGAGUAUAUCAGGACCCUCAGAGGAGAAAAGCAUAUAAAACUAGCACACCUGAACCCAGGUAAAUGGAAAGACCCUCAUUAUUAUCUUUACCAAAUAUUGAUACUUUGCAUUAAUUUAGAUUUAACAGACUACUAAGGGCUUUGUCUCCCCACCUAAAUCUCAUCUUAAUCUCAUCUUAAUCCCCAUAAUCCUCAUAAUCUCCACAUGUCAAGGGAGAGACCAGGUGGAGAUAAUUGAAUCAUGGGGGUGGUAUCCCC